This 29-nucleotide non-coding RNA is filed under the name Mus musculus (house mouse). Lineage: Eukaryota; Metazoa; Chordata; Mammalia; Rodentia; Muridae. The record is from RNAcentral.
UGAAGAUAGGUGACUCAAGACAUCUGUGC